CCUACGGGAGGCAGCAGUGAGGAAUAUUUGUCAAUGGACGAGCGUCUGAACCAGCCAAGUAGCGUGAAGGAUGACUGCCCUAUGGGUUGUAAACUUCUUUUAUAUGGGAAUAAAAUGUUCCACGUGUGGGAUUUUGUAUGUACCAUAUGAAUAAGGAUCGGCUAACUCCGUGCCAGCAGCCGCGGUAAUACGGAGGAUCCGAGCGUUAUCCGGAUUUAUUGGGUUUAAAGGGAGCGUAGGUGGAUUGUUAAGUCAGUUGUGAAAGGUUGCGGCUCAACCGUAAAAUUGCAGUUGAAACUGGCAGUCUUGAGUACAGUAGAGGUGGGCGGAAUUCGUGGUGUAGCGGUGAAAUGCUUAGAUAUCACGAAGAACUCCGAUUGCGAAGGCAGCUCACUGGACUGCAACUGACACUGAGGCUCGAAAGUGUGGGUAUCAAACAGGAUUAGAUACCCCGGUAGUC
Molecule: ribosomal RNA, 460 nt
Filed under: uncultured bacterium
Lineage: Bacteria
Description: partial 16S ribosomal RNA
Rfam family: Bacterial small subunit ribosomal RNA
Source: RNAcentral